GCUCCGGUAGCCCAAUUUGGCAGAGGCGACAGGCUUAGACCCUGGAGGUUGUGGGUUCGAAUCCCUCUCGGAGUA
Molecule: transfer RNA, 75 nt
Filed under: Mycobacteroides chelonae
Lineage: Bacteria; Bacillati; Actinomycetota; Actinomycetes; Mycobacteriales; Mycobacteriaceae
Description: tRNA-Leu
Rfam family: tRNA
About the family: Transfer RNA (tRNA) molecules are approximately 80 nucleotides in length. Their secondary structure includes four short double-helical elements and three loops (D, anti-codon, and T loops).
Source: RNAcentral